RNAcentral lists this ribosomal RNA (468 nucleotides) under uncultured bacterium. RNAcentral describes it as "partial 16S ribosomal RNA". It matches the Rfam family "Bacterial small subunit ribosomal RNA", at positions 28 to 507 of the family's 1533-position model. The record is from RNAcentral.
GACGAACGCUGGCGGCGUGCUUAACACAUGCAAGUCGAACGGAAAGGCCCUGCUUUUGUGGGGUGCUCGAGUGGCGAACGGGUGAGUAACACGUGAGUAACCUGCCCUUGACUUUGGGAUAACUUCAGGAAACUGGGGCUAAUACCGGAUAGGAGCUCCUGCUGCAUGGUGGGGGUUGGAAAGUUUCGGCGGUUGGGGAUGGACUCGCGGCUUAUCAGCUUGUUGGUGGGGUAGUGGCUUACCAAGGCUUUGACGGGUAGCCGGCCUGAGAGGGUGACCGGCCACAUGGGGACUGAGAUACGGACCAGACUCCUACGGGAGGCAGCAGUGGGGAAUAUUGCACAAUGGGCGGAAGCCUGAUGCAGCAACGCCGCGUGCGGGAUGACGGCCUUCGGGUUGUAAACCGCUUUCGCCUGUGACGAAGCGUGAGUGACGGUAAUGGGUAAAGAAGCACCGGCUAACUACGUG